GACGAACGCUGGCGGCGUGCUUAACACAUGCAAGUCGAGCGGUAAGGCCCUUUCGGGGGUACACGAGCGGCGAACGGGUGAGUAACACGUGGGUGACCUGCCCUUAGCUCUGGGAUAAGCCUGGGAAACUGGGUCUAAUACCGGAUAUGACUCCAUGACGCAUGUUGUGGGGUGGAAAGCCUUGUGCGGCUAGGGAUGGGGCCCGCGGCCUAUCAGCUUGUUGGUGGGGUGAUGGCCUACCAAGGCGACGACGGGUAGCCGGCCUGAGAGGGCGACCGGCCACACUGGGACUGAGACACGGCCCAGACUCCUACGGGAGGCAGCAGUGGGGAAUCUUGCGCAAUGGGCGAAAGCCUGACGCAGCGACGCCGCGUGAGGGAUGAC
Molecule: ribosomal RNA, 384 nt
Filed under: uncultured bacterium
Lineage: Bacteria
Description: bacterial SSU rRNA
Rfam family: Bacterial small subunit ribosomal RNA
Source: RNAcentral